Solanum tuberosum (potato) is the source of this 84-nucleotide non-coding RNA. The record is from Rfam. Lineage: Eukaryota; Viridiplantae; Streptophyta; Magnoliopsida; Solanales; Solanaceae.
GUCAGGAUGGCCCAGUGGUCUAAGGCGCCAGACUCAAGUUCUGGUCUUUGUAAGAGGGCGUGGGUUCAAAUCCCACUUCUGACA